GAAUUUUGGACAAUGGGCGAAAGCCUGAUCCAGCAAUGCCGCGUGCAGGAUGAAGGCCUUCGGGUUGUAAACUGCUUUUGUACGGAACGAAAAGCUUUGGGUUAAUACCCUGGAGUACUGACGGUACCGUAAGAAUACGCACCGGCUAACUACGCACACGCCACCGCGGUAAUACGUAGGGUGCAAGCGUUAAGCGGAAUUACUGGGCGUAAAGCGUGCGCAGGCGGCUUUGUAAGACAGAGGUGAAAUCCCCGGGCUCAACCUGGGAACUGCCUUUGUGACUGCAAGGCUAGAGUACGGCAGAGGGGGGUGGAAUUCCGCGUGUAGCAGUGAAAUGCGUAGAUAUGCGGAGGAACACCGAUGGCGAAGGCAACCCCCUGGGCCUGUACUGACGCUCAUGCACGAAAGCGUGGGGAGCAAACAG
This 424-nucleotide ribosomal RNA is filed under the name uncultured bacterium. Its description in RNAcentral is "partial 16S ribosomal RNA". It matches the Rfam family "Bacterial small subunit ribosomal RNA", at positions 359 to 775 of the family's 1533-position model. The record is from RNAcentral.